GCGCCUUGCGGGAUUUGCGGGAAUUAUGCGUACGACAAAGGAUAUGCCUCGGUACUUGCUAGAUCUGAGCCGAUAUAGAGGAGGAAGAAAUUGGGGGUGAGAGAGAAGGAUCGCGGUGAGAGAAAAUGAAAGGAUUGAGGGUGGGAAAGAGAACAGAUCAGGAGAGGUGGGAUUGGCGACGCGUAAGCGCUCUUAGCAAUAGAUAAAGGGAACGGAUAGCGGGUGAGAGAGAGGAAACAUAUCAGGAGAAACGGGGACAUGUAA
This 264-nucleotide long non-coding RNA is filed under the name Ananas comosus (pineapple). RNAcentral describes it as "long non-coding RNA (ACOM_LNC032520)". Lineage: Eukaryota; Viridiplantae; Streptophyta; Magnoliopsida; Poales; Bromeliaceae. The record is from RNAcentral.